This 301-nucleotide ribosomal RNA is filed under the name uncultured bacterium. RNAcentral's name for it is "partial 16S ribosomal RNA". It matches the Rfam family "Bacterial small subunit ribosomal RNA", at positions 509 to 809 of the family's 1533-position model. The record is from RNAcentral.
CAGUCGCCACGGUAAUGCGUAGGUGGCAAGCGUUGUCCGGAUUUAUUGGGCGUAAAGCGAGCGCAGGCGGUUCCUUAAGUCUGAUGUGAAAGCCCCCGGCUCAACCGGGGAGGGUCAUUGGAAACUGGGGAACUUGAGUGCAGAAGAGGAGAGUGGAAUUCCAUGUGUAGCGGUGAAAUGCGUAGAUAUAUGGAGGAACACCAGUGGCGAAGGCGACUCUCUGGUCUGUAACUGACGCUGAGGCUCGAAAGCGUGGGUAGCAAACAGGAUUAGAGACCCCUGUAGUCCCUGUCUCUUAUAA